GCUUGGAUGGCUCAGUUGGUUAGAGCGCAGGUCUCAUAUUUCCACAUAUGACCACCACCUGAUGGGUAAUCCUGAGGUCAUGAGUUCGAUCCUCAUUCCGAGCA
This is a transfer RNA of Trametes versicolor FP-101664 SS1, 104 nucleotides long. It matches the Rfam family "tRNA". From Rfam's summary of the family: Transfer RNA (tRNA) molecules are approximately 80 nucleotides in length. Lineage: Eukaryota; Fungi; Basidiomycota; Agaricomycetes; Polyporales; Polyporaceae. The record is from Rfam.